This 478-nucleotide ribosomal RNA is filed under the name uncultured bacterium. RNAcentral's name for it is "partial 16S ribosomal RNA". It matches the Rfam family "Bacterial small subunit ribosomal RNA", at positions 28 to 523 of the family's 1533-position model. The record is from RNAcentral.
GACGAACGCUGGCGGCGUGCUUAACACAUGCAAGUCGAACGGUAAGGCCCUUCGGGGUACACGAGUGGCGAACGGGUGAGUAACACGUGGGUGAUCUGCCCUGCACUUCGGGAUAAGCCUGGGAAACUGGGUCUAAUACCGGAUAGGACCACUGCCUGCAUGGGUGGUGGUGGAAAGCUUUUGCGGUGUGGGAUGGGCCCGCGGCCUAUCAGCUUGUUGGUGGGGUGAUGGCCUACCAAGGCGACGACGGGUAGCCGACCUAAGAGGGUGACCGGCCACACUGGGACUGAGAUACGGCCCAGACUCCUACGGGAGGCAGCAGUGGGGAAUAUUGCACAAUGGGCGCAAGCCUGAUGCAGCGACGCCGCGUGAGGGAUGACGGCCUUCGGGUUGUAAACCUCUUUCAGCACCGACGAAGCGCAAGUGACGGUAGGUGCAGAAGAAGGACCGGCCAACUACGUGCCAGCCGCCGCAGUAA